This 771-nucleotide long non-coding RNA is filed under the name Gallus gallus (chicken). Its description in RNAcentral is "lncRNA (ENSGALG00010012524.1)". The record is from RNAcentral. Lineage: Eukaryota; Metazoa; Chordata; Aves; Galliformes; Phasianidae.
CAUUUUAGCAUACAUGUUGACUCUGGCAGCAAUAUGUAUUCUGUACAUUGCCUAGCUCCAUUCCAACCUAUUCAUACAGGAGUGCUGUGCCUGCUUUGGAACUGCCUUGCGCUAUUUUCACAGAUUUGGCAAAACAGACAAGCAUCUCCUAGGACUGACACCAAUAUAACUGAUUCAGCCUUAUAGUAAGAGGAAGAACUUAAAGACUUCUCCAGAUCCUUACCAGUAUUCUGAUGAUUUCUCUCCCACAUCCCUCAGUGUGGAGGGCGAUGGUAGAAUGGCUAAGUGGUUCUGAGCUGCUUCCAGGUUAAACCACAGCACUUCUAUUUGAAAUUGUCUUCCUACUUUAAGUAAUGUUCCUAGUUUAAGUAAUGUUCCUACUGAUAACAUAACCAGUGAAAUUGUUCCAUAUCAAAGAUAAAUAUAUAUUUAUAUAUAUAUAUAUAUAAUUCUACAUAACCUGUUAAUUUUUUGUUGUUGUUGUUUUAAUGAAUAAACAUUUUGGUCUAUAUAUUUGUCAAAGUUUUCUCCUGGCUUUACGAGUCUAACACAUGCAAUCUAUCGGUCACUGAGAGCUCAUUUGCUGCAGUAACGUUCUUUGACUGCUACAAAGAGGGGAGAGGGGGGGGGAUGGACCAGCAAUUUUUUGAAAUGUUAUUCCAUGGCAAAUUUGGCCAAAGAAUAUGCUGUACUUAAACCAUGACUGCAGGAUAGCAUACACAUACCUCAUUGCUUGCAGCAGUUUUUUCAUUUGGCCCUCACUCAUUUUCU